AUAUUCCAGAUUGCCUUAGUACGGCGAGUGAAGCGGCAAAAGCUCAAAUUUGAAAUCUGGCACCUUCGGUGUCCGAGUUGUAAUUUGAAGAAGGUAACUUUGGAGUUGGCUCUUGUCUAUGUUCCUUGGAACAGGACGUCACAGAGGGUGAGAAUCCCGUGCGAUGAGAUGCCCAAUUCUAUGUAAAGUGCUUUCGAAGAGUCGAGUUGUUUGGGAAUGCAGCUCUAAGUGGGUGGUAAAUUCCAUCUAAAGCUAAAUAUUGGCGAGAGACCGAUAGCGAACAAGUACAGUGAUGGAAAGAUGAAAAGAACUUUGAAAAGAGAGUGAAAAAGUACGUGAAAUUGUUGAAAGGGAAGGGCUUGAGAUCAGACUUGGUAUUUUGCGAUCCUUUCCUUCUUGGUUGGGUUCCUCGCAGCUUACUGGGCCAGCAUCGGUUUGGAUGGUAGGAUAAUGACUAAGGAAUGUGGCUCUACUUCGGUGGAGUGUUAUAGCCUUGGUUGAUACUGCCUGUCUAGACCGAGGACUGCGUCUUUUGACUAGGAUGUUGGCAUAAUGAUCUUAAGCCACCCGUCUAAAAAAAGGGAACAAAAAAAACCCAAAAAAUUAAAGGAAAGAAAUA
RNAcentral lists this ribosomal RNA (619 nucleotides) under Debaryomyces hansenii. Its description in RNAcentral is "LSU rRNA". It matches the Rfam family "Eukaryotic large subunit ribosomal RNA", at positions 64 to 664 of the family's 3401-position model. The record is from RNAcentral. Lineage: Eukaryota; Fungi; Ascomycota; Pichiomycetes; Serinales; Debaryomycetaceae.